CGCCUACGGGGGGCAGCAGUGAGGAAUAUUGGUCAAUGGGCUUACGCCUGAACCAGCCAAGUCGCGUGAGGGAAGACUGCCCUAUGGGUUGUAAACCUCUUUUGUCAGGGAGCAACGCCGGCUACGUGUAGCCGGACUGAGAGUACCUGAAGAAAAAGCAUCGGCUAACUCCGUGCCAGCAGCCGCGGUAAUACGGAGGAUGCGAGCGUUAUCCGGAUUUAUUGGGUUUAAAGGGUGCGUAGGCGGAAUGCCAAGUCAGCGGUAAAAUUUCGGGGCUCAACCCCGACGAGCCGUCGAAACUGGCU
This 305-nucleotide ribosomal RNA is filed under the name uncultured bacterium. RNAcentral describes it as "bacterial SSU rRNA". It matches the Rfam family "Bacterial small subunit ribosomal RNA", at positions 336 to 638 of the family's 1533-position model. The record is from RNAcentral.